This 465-nucleotide ribosomal RNA is filed under the name uncultured bacterium. RNAcentral's name for it is "partial 16S ribosomal RNA". It matches the Rfam family "Bacterial small subunit ribosomal RNA", at positions 338 to 795 of the family's 1533-position model. The record is from RNAcentral.
CCUACGGGAGGCAGCAGUAGGGAAUCUUCCACAAUGGGCGAAAGCCUGAUGGAGCAACGCCGCGUGGGUGAAGAAGGUCUUCGGAUUGUAAAACCCUGUUGUUAGAGAAGAAAGUGCGUGAGAGUAACUGUUCACGUUUCGACGGUAUCUAACCAGAAAGCCACGGCUAACUACGUGCCAGCAGCCGCGGUAAUACGUAGGUGGCAAGCGUUAUCCGGAUUUAUUGGGCGUAAAGGGAACGCAGGCGGUCUUUUAAGUCUGAUGUGAAAGCCUUCGGCUUAACCGGAGUAGUGCAUUGGAAACUGGGAGACUGGAGUGCAGAAGAGGAGAGUGGAACUCCAUGUGUAGCGGUGAAAUGCGUAGAUAUAUGGAAGAACACCAGUGGCGAAAGCGGCUCUCUGGUCUGUAACUGACGCUGAGGUCCGAAAGCGUGGGUAGCAAACAGGAUUAGAUACCCGAGUAGUC